ACACAUGCAAGUCGAGGGGAAACGACAUCGAAAGCUUGCUUUUGAUGGGCGUCGACCGGCGCACGGGUGAGUAACGCGUAUCCAACCUGCCCACCACUUGGGGAUAACCUUGCGAAAGUAAGACUAAUACCCAAUGAUAUCUCUAGAAGACAUCUGAAAGGGAUUAAAGAUUUAUCGGUGAUGGAUGGGGAUGCGUCUGAUUAGCUUGUUGGCGGGGUAACGGCCCACCAAGGCGACGAUCAGUAGGGGUUCUGAGAGGAAGGUCCCCCACAUUGGAACUGAGACACGGUCCAAACUCCUACGGGAGGCAGCAGUGAGGAAUAUUGGUCAAUGGACGAGAGUCUGAACCAGCCAAGUAGCGUGCAGGAAGACGGCCCUAUGGGUUGUAAACUGCUUUUAUAAGGGAAUAAAGUGAGUCUCGUGAGACUUUUUGCAUGUACCUUAUGAAUAAGGACCGGCUAAUUCCGUGCCAGCAGCCGCGGUAAUACGGAAGGUCCGGGCGUUAUCCGGAUUUAUUGGGUUUAAAGGGAGCGUAGGCCGGAGAUUAAGCGUGUUGUGAAAUGUAGACGCUCAACGUCUGCACUGCAGCGCGAACUGGUCUUCUUGAGUACGCACAACGUGGG
Molecule: ribosomal RNA, 623 nt
Filed under: uncultured bacterium
Lineage: Bacteria
Description: bacterial SSU rRNA
Rfam family: Bacterial small subunit ribosomal RNA
Source: RNAcentral